AUAACCGGCGAUUUCCGAAUGGGGAAACCCAGUGUGAUUCGUCACACUAUCAUUAACUGAAUCCAUAGGUUAAUGAGGCGAACCGGGGGAACUGAAACAUCUAAGUACCCCGAGGAAAAGAAAUCAACCGAGAUUCCCCCAGUAGCGGCGAGCGAACGGGGAGCAGCCCAGAGCCUGAAUCAGUGUGUGUGUUAGUGGAAGCGUCUGGAAAGGCGUGCGAUACAGGGUGACAGCCCCGUACACAAAAAUGCACAUACUGUGAGCUCGAUGAGUAGGGCGGGACACGUGGUAUCCUGUCUGAAUAUGGGGGGACCAUCCUCCAAGGCUAAAUACUCCUGACUGACCGAUAGUGAACCAGUACCGUGAGGGAAAGGCGAAAAGAACCCCGGCGAGGGGAGUGAAAAAGAACCUGAAACCGUGUACGUACAAGCAGUGGGAGCACGCUUAGGCGUGUGACUGCGUACCUUUUGUAUAAUGGGUCAGCGACUUAUAUUCUGUAGCAAGGUUAACCGAAUAGGGGAGCCGAAGGGAAACCGAGUCUUAACUGGGCGUUAAGUUGCAGGGUAUAGACCCGAAACCCGGUGAUCUAGCCAUGGGCAGGUUGAAGGUUGGGUAACACUAACUGGAGGACCGAACCGACUAAUGUUGAAAAAUUAGCGGAUGACUUGUGGCUGGGGGUGAAAGGCCAAUCAAACCGGGAGAUAGCUGGUUCUCCCCGAAAGCUAUUUAGGUAGCGCCUCGUGAAUUCAUCUCCGGGGGUAGAGCACUGUUUCGGCAAGGGGGUCAUCCCGACUUACCAACCCGAUGCAAACUGCGAAUACCGGAGAAUGUUAUUACGGGAGACACACGGCGGGUGCUAACGUCCGUCGUGAAGAGGGAAACAACCCAGACCGCCAGCUAAGGUCCCAAAGUCAUGGUUAAGUGGGAAACGAUGUGGGAAGGCCCAGACAGCCAGGAUGUUGGCUUAGAAGCAGCCAUCAUUUAAAGAAAGCGUAAUAGCUCACUGGUCGAGUCGGCCUGCGCGGAAGAUGUAACGGGGCUAAACCAUGCACCGAAGCUGCGGCAGCGACGCUUAUGCGUUGUUGGGUAGGGGAGCGUUCUGUAAGCCUGUGAAGGUGUGCUGUGAGGUAUGCUGGAGGUAUCAGAAGUGCGAAUGCUGACAUAAGUAACGAUAAAGCGGGUGAAAAGCCCGCUCGCCGGAAGACCAAGGGUUCCUGUCCAACGUUAAUCGGGGCAGGGUGAGUCGACCCCUAAGGCGAGGCCGAAAGGCGUAGUCGAUGGGAAACAGGUUAAUAUUCCUGUACUUGGUGUUACUGCGAAGGGGGGACGGAGAAGGCUAUGUUGGCCGGGCGACGGUUGUCCCGGUUUAAGCGUGUAGGCUGGUUUUCCAGGCAAAUCCGGAAAAUCAAGGCCGAGGCGUGAUGACGAGGCACUACGGUGCUGAAGCAACAAAUGCCCUGCUUCCAGGAAAAGCCUCUAAGCAUCAGGUAACAUCAAAUCGUACCCCAAACCGACACAGGUGGUCAGGUAGAGAAUACCAAGGCGCUUGAGAGAACUCGGGUGAAGGAACUAGGCAAAAUGGUGCCGUAACUUCGGGAGAAGGCACGCUGAUACGUAGGUGAAGCGACUUGCUCGUGGAGCUGAAAUCAGUCGAAGAUACCAGCUGGCUGCAACUGUUUAUUAAAAACACAGCACUGUGCAAACACGAAAGUGGACGUAUACGGUGUGACGCCUGCCCGGUGCCGGAAGGUUAAUUGAUGGGGUUAGCGCAAGCGAAGCUCUUGAUCGAAGCCCCGGUAAACGGCGGCCGUAACUAUAACGGUCCUAAGGUAGCGAAAUUCCUUGUCGGGUAAGUUCCGACCUGCACGAAUGGCGUAAUGAUGGCCAGGCUGUCUCCACCCGAGACUCAGUGAAAUUGAACUCGCUGUGAAGAUGCAGUGUACCCGCGGCAAGACGGAAAGACCCCGUGAACCUUUACUAUAGCUUGACACUGAACAUUGAGCCUUGAUGUGUAGGAUAGGUGGGAGGCUUUGAAGUGUGGACGCCAGUCUGCAUGGAGCCGACCUUGAAAUACCACCCUUUAAUGUUUGAUGUUCUAACGUGGACCCGUGAUCCGGGUUGCGGACAGUGUCUGGUGGGUAGUUUGACUGGGGCGGUCUCCUCCUAAAGAGUAACGGAGGAGCACGAAGGUUGGCUAAUCCUGGUCGGACAUCAGGAGGUUAGUGCAAUGGCAUAAGCCAGCUUGACUGCGAGCGUGACGGCGCGAGCAGGUGCGAAAGCAGGUCAUAGUGAUCCGGUGGUUCUGAAUGGAAGGGCCAUCGCUCAACGGAUAAAAGGUACUCCGGGGAUAACAGGCUGAUACCGCCCAAGAGUUCAUAUCGACGGCGGUGUUUGGCACCUCGAUGUCGGCUCAUCACAUCCUGGGGCUGAAGUAGGUCCCAAGGGUAUGGCUGUUCGCCAUUUAAAGUGGUACGCGAGCUGGGUUUAGAACGUCGUGAGACAGUUCGGUCCCUAUCUGCCGUGGGCGCUGGAGAACUGAGGGGGGCUGCUCCUAGUACGAGAGGACCGGAGUGGACGCAUCACUGGUGUUCGGGUUGUCAUGCCAAUGGCACUGCCCGGUAGCUAAAUGCGGAAGAGAUAAGUGCUGAAAGCAUCUAAGCACGAAACUUGCCCCGAGAUGAGUUCUCCCUGACCCUUUAAGGGUCCUGAAGGAACGUUGAAGACGACGACGUUGAUAGGCCGGGUGUGUAAGCGCAGCGAUGCGUUGAGCUAACCGGUACUAAUGAACCGUGAGGCUUAACCUUACAACGCCGAAG
Molecule: ribosomal RNA, 2816 nt
Filed under: Shigella flexneri
Lineage: Bacteria; Pseudomonadati; Pseudomonadota; Gammaproteobacteria; Enterobacterales; Enterobacteriaceae
Description: partial 23S ribosomal RNA
Rfam family: Bacterial large subunit ribosomal RNA
Source: RNAcentral